Molecule: ribosomal RNA, 252 nt
Filed under: uncultured bacterium
Lineage: Bacteria
Description: partial 16S ribosomal RNA
Rfam family: Bacterial small subunit ribosomal RNA
Source: RNAcentral
UACGUAGGGUGCUAGCGUUGUUCGGAAUCAUUGGGCGUAAAGCGCGUGCAGGCUGUUAGUUAAGUCGGGUGUGAAAUCCCUCGGCUCAACCGAGGAAGUGCAUCCGAAACUAACUAGCUAGAGAAUGGUAGAGGAAGGUGGAAUUCCUAGUGUAGAGGUGAAAUUCGUAGAUAUCAGGAGGAACACCGGUGGCGAAGGCGGCUAUCUGGACGGUCACUGACGCUGAGAUGCGAAAGCGUGGGAGCAAACAGG